Erinaceus europaeus (western European hedgehog) is the source of this 330-nucleotide non-coding RNA. The record is from Rfam. NCBI's taxonomy places the organism in Eukaryota, Metazoa, Chordata, Mammalia, Eulipotyphla, Erinaceidae.
GGAUGUGAGGGCGAUCCCGCUGCAGCGUCUGUCACCCCAGUGAUCGCCAGGGUUGAUUCAGCUGAUCUGACUGGCUAGGCAGGUGUCCCCUUCCUCCCUCACUGCUCCAUGUGCGUCCCUCCUGAAGCUGCAUGCUCGUUCGACGAGGACGGCCUUCCCCGAAUAGAGAAUGACCCGUGUUCGGUCUUUGGUCGAAGGUAUAGGAGUAGCUGCGCUCCCCUGCUAGAACCUCCAAACAAGCUUUCAAGAAAGGGCGAGGGUUUUUCCAGUAACUGCUGGGCGGGUGGUGUAGCCAGUUCUGGGGAUGAGGAAGUGAGAUUAUCAGCAGGU